RNAcentral lists this ribosomal RNA (537 nucleotides) under uncultured Actinomycetes bacterium. Its description in RNAcentral is "bacterial SSU rRNA". It matches the Rfam family "Bacterial small subunit ribosomal RNA", at positions 30 to 520 of the family's 1533-position model. The record is from RNAcentral. Lineage: Bacteria; Bacillati; Actinomycetota; Actinomycetes.
CGAACGCUGGCGGCGUGCUUAACACAUGCAAGUCGAACGAUGAAGUUCCUUCGGGAAUGGAUUAGUGGCGAACGGGUGAGGAACACGUGAGAAACCUGCCUUUCAUUUUGGGAUAACUCCGGGAAACCGGGGCUAACACCGAAUACUCCAUCUCGGCGGCAUCGCUGUGCUGGGAAAAAUUUUGAUGAAGGAUGGUCUCGCGGCCUAUCAGCUAGUUGGUGAGGUAAUGGCUCACCAAGGCAACGACGGGUAGCCGGCCUGAGAGGGCGACCGGCCACACUGGGACUGAGACACGGCCCAGACUCCUACGGGAGGCAGCAGUGGGGAAUAUUGGGCAAUGGGCGCAAGCCUGACCCAGCGACGCCGCGUGAGGGAUGAAGGCCUUCGGUUGUAAACCUCUUUCAGUAGGAAGAAGCGAAAGUGACGGUACCUAACGAAGAAGCACCGGCUAACUAUGUGCCAGCAGACUUCUUUUCUCAAGGAGGAAGAUCUGACGUUACUUGAGGAAUAAGCAUCGGCUAACUUCUGUGCCAGCAG